This 164-nucleotide small nuclear RNA is filed under the name Saimiri boliviensis boliviensis (Bolivian squirrel monkey). RNAcentral describes it as "U1 spliceosomal RNA (ENSSBOG00000005677.1)". It matches the Rfam family "U1 spliceosomal RNA". From Rfam's summary of the family: U1 is a small nuclear RNA (snRNA) component of the spliceosome (involved in pre-mRNA splicing). Its 5' end forms complementary base pairs with the 5' splice junction, thus defining the 5' donor site of an intron. The record is from Rfam by way of RNAcentral. Lineage: Eukaryota; Metazoa; Chordata; Mammalia; Primates; Cebidae.
AUACUUACCUGGCAGGGGAGAUACCGUGAUCACAAAGGUGGUUUUUCCAGGGAGAGGCUUAUCCAUUGCACUUCGGAUGUGCUGAACCCUGCGACUUCCCCAAAUGUGCAGAACUCGACUGCAUAAUUUGUGGUAGUGGGAGACUGCAUUCGCGCUUUCACCUG